GACGAACGCUGGCGGCGUGCCUAAUACAUGCAAGUAGAACGCUGAAGGAGGAGCUUGCUUCUCUGGAUGAGUUGCGAACGGGUGAGUAACGCGUAGGUAACCUGCCUGGUAGCGGGGGAUAACUAUUGGAAACGAUAGCUAAUACCGCAUAAUAGUAGAUGUUGCAUGACAUUUGCUUAAAAGGUGCAAUUGCAUCACUACCAGAUGGACCUGCGUUGUAUUAGCUAGUUGGUGGGGUAACGGCUCACCAAGGCGACGAUACAUAGCCGACCUGCGAGGGGGAUCGGCCACACUGGGACUGAGACACGGCCCAGACUCCUACGGGAGGCAGCAGUAGGGAAUCUUCGGCAAUGGACGGAAGUCUGACCGAGCAACGCCGCGUGAGUGAAGAGGGUUUUCGGAUCGUAAAGCUCUGUUGUAAGAGAAGAACGAGUGUGAGAGUGGAAAGUUCACACUGUGACGGUAUCUUACCAGAAAGGGACGGCUAACUACGUG
RNAcentral lists this ribosomal RNA (495 nucleotides) under uncultured bacterium. RNAcentral describes it as "partial 16S ribosomal RNA". It matches the Rfam family "Bacterial small subunit ribosomal RNA", at positions 28 to 507 of the family's 1533-position model. The record is from RNAcentral.